This 409-nucleotide long non-coding RNA is filed under the name Hordeum vulgare. RNAcentral's name for it is "long non-coding RNA (HVUL_LNC007476)". Lineage: Eukaryota; Viridiplantae; Streptophyta; Magnoliopsida; Poales; Poaceae. The record is from RNAcentral.
UAGCUGUUGCUGAGCUUGGAUGAGUGUCAUCCAUCACAAUUUCAUUAUCUUGAAACUUUGGCUGAAGUGUCAAAUGAGCACGAUCAAGUUGAUAUGCAUGCUUGCCAAUCUUGGCAUUGAUGAGCAUAUGAAUGUAUGGUGCAUAUUUGCAUGAUCUCUUAUGAUCUGCAGAAGUUCUCGUGGUAGUCUCGGCAAGACUUUGAAGCGAGUGUGGGUGUCUAAAUGAAGCAACAUGUUGAUGGAAUAGCCUCUAAUCAUUUUGUCAUCACCUGAUUUGGGCAUCAGGGUAUGCCUCAAGAUAGUGUUGUGUAACGCCCCAGACACACCCGCCGGCGGCCGUUAUUCCUGGCGGGAUCUAGACUGGCCCCACAUAUUAAUACUAGUGUUUUCUGCGCACUUUGUCCUCACU